This 585-nucleotide ribosomal RNA is filed under the name uncultured bacterium. Its description in RNAcentral is "partial 16S ribosomal RNA". It matches the Rfam family "Bacterial small subunit ribosomal RNA", at positions 355 to 1375 of the family's 1533-position model. The record is from RNAcentral.
UGGGGAAUUUUGGACAAUGGGCGAAAGCCUGAUCCAGCAAUGCCGCGUGUGUGAAGAAGGCCUUCGGGUUGUAAACACUUUUGUCCGGAAAGAAAUCCUUGGCUCUAAUACAGUCGGGGGAUGACGGUACCGGAAGAAUAAGCACCGGCUAACUACGUGCCAGCAGCCGCGGUAAUACGUAGGGUGCAAGCGUUAAUCGGAAUUACUGGGCGUAAAGCGUGCGCAGGCGGUUUGCUAAGACCGAUGUGAAAUCCCCGGGCUCAACCUGGGAACUGCAUUGGUGACUGGCAGGCUAGAGUAUGGCAGAGGGGGGUAGAAUUCCACGUGUAGCAGUGAAAUGCGUAGAGAUGUGGAGGAAUACCGAUGGCGAAGGCAGCCCCCUGGGCCAAUACUGACGCUCAUGCACGAAAGCGUGGGGAGCAAACAGGAUUAGAUACCCUGGUAGUCCACGCCCUAAAACGAUGUCAACUAGUUGUUGGGGAUUCAUUUCCUUAGUAACGUAGCUAACGCGUGAAGUUGACCGCCUGGGGAGUACGGUCGCAAGAUUAAAACUCAAAUGAAUUGACGGGGUCAUAGCUGUUUCCU